CAAUCAAGAUGGCCGAACUGAUAAAGGUGGAAUUCUAAGGAAUAUAGUAACUGUUCGUUCCAUAUAACUAAGCUGGUGGAUUUUUUUCGAGGUAUAAUCAGAUAACUUUCUCCAUGUCUCCAGCAGCUGAUGUUUCUAUUUGGUGUCCAGCGAAAAUGCCUGUCAAAUGAGUGUGGCCGGAACUCCCUGUGAUGC
Molecule: long non-coding RNA, 195 nt
Organism: Culex quinquefasciatus (southern house mosquito)
Lineage: Eukaryota; Metazoa; Arthropoda; Insecta; Diptera; Culicidae
Exons: 3
Source: RefSeq, a predicted model, not a curated record